Molecule: ribosomal RNA, 627 nt
Filed under: Triticum aestivum (bread wheat)
Lineage: Eukaryota; Viridiplantae; Streptophyta; Magnoliopsida; Poales; Poaceae
Description: partial small subunit ribosomal RNA
Source: RNAcentral
AUGACCACGGCAUUGCAAUUCUCUGUCUAUGCGGACGCAAAUGCGCUGGCCUUCAUGAUUCCAGGACCUGGAAUCAUACCAGCUGAUGGGCUUCAAUCGAAGAAGGAUUGGCCGGUGCUGCCGGCUGGCGUCAAGUUCGAUCCCACGGAUCCGGAGCUGAUCGAGCACCUUGAGGCCAAAGUGAGUGCUGACAGCGCGAGAUCUCACGCUCUCAUCGAUCUGUUCAUACCAACCACCGACAGCGAGCACGGCAUAUGCUACACCCAACCUGAGAAACUUCCAGGUAUCACACAGAGUGGCCUAAGGAAGCAGAUCUUCCAGCGCAAUUCCAGGGCGUUCAAAAGGGGCACGUGGACGCGUCGCAAGAUACCGUCGGAGUGCGGCAUGCACGCGAUGUGGCACAAGACCAACAAUACCUUGCCGGUGAUGGUCAACGGCCGGCAGACGGGCAGCACAAAGGUUCUAGUGCUCCACACCAACAAGAACUUCGACCAGCAGAGGACCAACUGGGUGAUGCACCAGUACCACCUCGGGGACCUGGAGCAAGAGAAGGAGCGGGAGCUGGUCCUCUGCAAGAUUUUGUACCAGACGAACACUAGGGCCAGGAGUAAAAAGAUUAUAAGUUAG